This 478-nucleotide ribosomal RNA is filed under the name uncultured bacterium. RNAcentral's name for it is "partial 16S ribosomal RNA". It matches the Rfam family "Bacterial small subunit ribosomal RNA", at positions 28 to 523 of the family's 1533-position model. The record is from RNAcentral.
GACGAACGCUGGCGGCGUGCUUAACACAUGCAAGUCGAACGGUAAGGCCCUUCGGGGUACACGAGUGGCGAACGGGUGAGUAACACGUGGGUGAUCUGCCCUGCACUUCGGGAUAAGCCUGGGAAACUGGGUCUAAUACCGGAUAGGACCACUGCCUGCAUGGGUGGUGGUGGAAAGCUUUUGCGGUGUGGGAUGGGCCCGCGGCCUAUCAGCUUGUUGGUGGGGUGAUGGCCUACCAAGGCGACGACGGGUAGCCGGCCUGAGAGGGUGACCGGCCACAGUGGGACUGAGAUACGGCCCAGACCCCUACGGGAGGCAGCAGUGGGGAAUAUUGCACAAUGGGCGCAAGCCUGAUGCAGCGACGCCGCGUGAGGGAUGACGGCCUUCGGGUUGUAAACCUCUUGCAGCACCGACGAAGCGCAAGUGACGGUAGGUGCAGAAGAAGGACCGGCCAACUACGUGCCAGCCGCCGCAGUAA